UGUUAUUCUUAGUAAGAAUUAUUUUUGUUCGGUCUGUAAGGAAAGAAUAAGUUUUAAACUUUUCGCCUUUGAUAUCUAACUUGAGCAACGAUAGUAAUAAAUCGUGGAUAUAACAUCCACACAGGAGGAUACACAUAUGCAAGAAGGUACAGUAAAAUGGUUUAACGCAGAAAAAGGUUUCGGUUUCAUCGAAAUCGAAGGUGGAGAAGAUGUAUUCGUACAUUUCUCAGCUAUCCAAGGCGAAGGAUUUAAAUCUUUAGACGAAGGUCAAAAAGUUACAUUUGACACUGAGCAAGGUCAACGUGGACUUCAAGCGACUAACGUUAACAAAGCGUAAUAGCUUUUGAUGAAGGGACUCUCUCAGGAGGGUCCUUUUUUU
The sequence is a regulatory RNA element, 379 nucleotides long. It matches the Rfam family "cspA thermoregulator". The record is from Rfam.